Molecule: long non-coding RNA, 1891 nt
Organism: Triticum aestivum (bread wheat)
Lineage: Eukaryota; Viridiplantae; Streptophyta; Magnoliopsida; Poales; Poaceae
Exons: 2
Source: RefSeq, a predicted model, not a curated record
CGCCAAAGCUCACACUGGCAGAAACCAUAGCCCCCAGCCGCCACACCCCUGACCCCUCCUUCCUCCUCCCUCGCUCCUCACCGCAGCCGUCGUGCCCCUCCCCCGCAGCCCCAGGACCUCCAUCUCCUCCAUGCGUCCUCGCUGCCGCCGCAGCCUCGGGCGCACCCUCUCCUUCAACCCCAUGUGAAAUCGAGCAUCCUGGCGGUGCCUUGACUGAUCCAUGAUGAUGGCUAGCGCAGGUGAGCGCCACACAUGGUGUAGCAGGCUUGGAGGCAGCGGGCGCGGCGGUCAAGGCCAAGGGCACGUCGAGCGACGAUGACCACAUCCGCCACCAACAACGAGGUGAGAUUCACCCAAUCUCUCUCUCUACCUCUCUCCAUGCGGCCUCCUCCCCUCGACCCCAGAUUCGUCGAUGAGAUAUGCCAUCCAUCUUCUACAGCCUCAUAGUUUUCUUUGUUUAUGUGAUUAUUUUGGAAUUUUAGCUCUAUGCAGCCACUUUCUUGAUUAAGUUCAGAAAAUGGCGGCAACUGUUGGUUAGUGGUUGAACUUGGUUCAUAUGCUUUGAAUAAAAUUGUUUUCAUAUAUCAUGUUAUGCAGCCAGGAUGCAUCAAAUCAUUUUUUUACUUCACAAAAUAAUGUUGCGAGCGUAAAUUUAUACCGGCCAGAGAUAGCAAUAUACCAAGGGUCCUGGGAAUUUGAUUCAUAAAUGCAGGGAAGUUAUUGAUGCAUCUGAGCUGCUCUAUCUGAUUAUAUUUUAUUAAGACCCCGUCAUUUUAUAAACCAUGUAAAGGAAUUGCUUAACAAAUGUGAGAUGUUGUCCUUUAUUUGUACAUCCAUGUUCUUGCACGGUAUACAAAUUUUGGUCCUUUUUUUGCAUGUUUUGUUGAUUUUUUAAAGCAAGAUACUAUUUCUACGGGUUCCAAAAUGUAUCGAAGAUUGCCAGGGAGUUGAUUACACCAUCUGUGGAAUAUGACAUCGCCCUUUAGGUAAUUUCACUUUGACCUGGAUUAAUGACAGGUUGCCAAAAAAUAUUGGGGGAAAUAUGGCUCUAGAGAAAGUUUAAUGUGAAUUUGGGAUUGACAUCUCAGUCUGCAAUGCAUUGAAAAUUUAUGGUAGAAGUGUUUAUAUUGUUAACUGGGACGAGGAUUAGAAUUUCUUGCUUUUUACUAAUUGGUUUUGUUUUCUACUUUGCUCUUCCUUCUCAGUCUUUAUUUAUCUUUGCGGCAUAAAUUCAAAUGAUUAUUAGCAGUCUGCCUUGAAUUACAAUGACAACCAGUCAGCACUACAAUGUCACGAACUUUGCACUUUGAUUUGUUUUCAUUGUAUAAAGUGUUGAUCAAUUUCACAGGAUAAAGAAGCCUAAGCCUAAAGUCAUCAUGGUUGAGGUUGAUAGUAUAUCUGCUGGUGAUAGUGGUGGAGCUGCUGAUCUUAUUGCAAGAUUCUUAUAUUUUGCAUUUGUAAUGACAGUUAUAGCAAGAAGCUUAAGAGCACUGUAAAUUACCUAUUUGGUACCCAACUUCAGGAAACCAACAAAGUAGCAGAUACAAGUCCGCUUGCAAUUUUUGGGAGAAUACACAGUUCCUUUGGGUUCAUCGCUCGGUUUUGUCCCUGAUAUGCUUACUGCUCCUACAUGGCUCUUCAGGGUUAUGGAUGGAGUGCGUUAUUUCGACGGUCCUCUACUCUAUUUUUUUGUUGCGUGUGCCUUCAGGUCCAUCAGGUAUAAUUGUGCUUCACCUCCAAACGUGGUUUUAUGCUAUCUUGGUGUUUUCUCUUUUGUUUAAUUCAUUGUUGUAUCGCUCAAGGGCAUCUUGAUUAGUUUGAAUUAUGCUUUUUUAGCUAGGAUGAAUUUAUGAAUGGUUGCCCUUUUCUGUUGAUUAAGUAUUUGUGUGCA